Molecule: non-coding RNA, 3778 nt
Organism: Xyrichtys novacula (pearly razorfish)
Lineage: Eukaryota; Metazoa; Chordata; Actinopteri; Labriformes; Labridae
Source: the annotation of a GenBank genome assembly
AGUUCAACCAAGUCCCCACUGUCAUAUGCCGAAUAGACUUUGUGGAAAACAUUAAACACUAAGUAGUUAUGGUGUGUGAAUCUGCCUGAAUGGGAUCAGCUAGAGCUUUUAUCUUUAAAAUUAAGUGAAAAUCCAUCAGAACAUGUUUAGAGGUGUGGGAUGUGAUGUAACAGGGAAAAUUUCCUCAGGCAGGGGUCUAAGAGGUUCCACCAGAGUUUACUGUACAACAAAUACUGAUAAGGAUUUCAGUCUGUGGUUCAUAUGAUCCCCAAAAUUUCAGUAUCUGCACUUUCUGUCAUGUGAGUGGGCAGACUGUCUUAUUUGUUCGCGCUGAUUGCAAUCAGCUUUUUGAUGCUUGAUCAUUUCCUGCAGCUGAGAAGUUAAACUUGAGUCCCCUGCAUUUGUUAAAUAUUACACAAUGGAGCAUGUGAGCUCUGUGGCUGUGUCCUGCAGAUGGACUUUAGUUGUUGACUUUCAGUUUGAAGGUCCUUUAAUAGAAGAUAGAACGCCUCCACACACUCGUCCACCUUCUUCACUUCAGCUCCACUCAUGUACAACAAACCAUUGAUAAGAAAUAUACUUUCACUGAGGUGUGUCUGGUUCUGACCCUCCUGAUCACAUUUUUGCAGUGGUUGAGGCUGCUGUCACAGAAAAAAGGACAAAAGGACCAGCAAAAAAGAACGCAGAGAGGUGAGUCAAACGGGUCAGAAAUGGCGCUUGGGUAUGUGAUCACAUUGAUACUGUUCAGCCUAUCCAGUCAGCUGGUCGCACAUGGGUCUAACUUUGCCCCAGCACUUUCCAGGCAUUCAAAACUCAUUUUAAUUGAAGCAUUUUAAAGAAUUUCAAGGGCCUACACCAGCCCCCAUGGUUAUAUAAAAUUCAACUUUUUCUUUGUGUGACAUUUAAAAAAUUAGAUCAGUGCUUUAAGCUGUAUUUCCAUUGAUUUUUUACACUCCCACAGCCUUUAAUUGUGUCUUUUAAAUUGCCAUUUGGGGUGCAGAACCCACGUAACCUCCACAAUCUGCCUCUCAGAUGUUUCGGUGUGGUAAUUAUUAGAGAGUGCCAUGCAGUGGUCAGGUUACGAUGAAACCUCCUAUUAACAGUGACCUUCCCCAGACAGCCAGACAAUGAUAUGCUGGAUAUCAUGACAGUAUAGAUAUGAACUCUACCUUAAGUUACAAUGGAGACUGACAUUUUAAAGAAAAGUGGCAGCCUUAUCAGGUGCACCUGUAGAAGUUACUCCUGUAGUACCCCUGAUUUGGCAGUGAUGACUAAGUACUUAGCUUGUACUGAUGGUACUUUAUUAGGAUUUUGAAUGGAGCACUGCUUGGCCAUAGUCCAAAAGCCAAUUCCAUUGAAGUUGGGAAAUUGUGAUAAACGUAAAUAAAAACAGAAUACAAUGAUUUCCAAAUCCUUUUCAACCCAUAUUUAAUUGAAUACACUAUAAAGACGAGAUAUUUAAUGUUCAAACUCAUAAACUUUAUUUUUUUUGCAAAUAAUAAUUAAAUCAGAAUUUCAUGGCUGCAACAUGUGCCAAAGAAGUUGGGACAGGGGCAUGUUUACCACUGUGUUACAUCACCUUUCCUUUUCACAACACGCAAUAACUGUUUGGGAACUGAGGAGACUAAUUGUUGAAGCUUUGAAGGUGGAAUUCUUUCCUAUUCUAGCUUGAUGUACAGCUUCAGUUGUUCAACAGUCUGGGGUCUCUGUUGUCGUAUGUACGCUUCAUAAUGCGCCACACAUUUUCAAUGGGAGACAGGUCUGGACUGCAGGCAGGCCAGUUGAGUACCUGCACUCUUUUACUAUGAAGCCACGCUGUUGUAACACGUGCAGAAUGUGGCUUGACAUUGUCUUGCUGAAAUAAGCAGGGGCAUCCAUGAAAAAGACGUUGCUUGGAUGGCAGCAUAUGUUUCUCCAAAACUUGUAUGUACCUUUCAGCAAUAAUGUUGCCUUCACAGAUGUGUAAGUUACCCAUGCCUCGGGCACUAAUGCACCCCCAUACCAUCACAGAUGCUGGCUUUUGAACUUUGCGUCGAUAACAGUCUGGAUGUUUUUUUUUCCUCUUUGGCCCGGAGGACACAACGUCCACUAUUUACAAAAACAACUUGAAAUGUGGACUCGUCAGACCACAGAACACUUUUCCACUUUGCAUCAGUCCAUCUUAGAUGAGCUCAGGCCCAGAGAAGCUGGCAGCGUUUCUGGAUGUUGUUGAUAAAUGGCUUUCUCUUUGCAAAGUAGAGUUUUAACUUGCACUUACAGAUGUAGCGACGAACUGUAUUUACUGACAGUGGUUUUCUGAAGUGUUCGUGAGCCUAUGUGUUGAAAUCAUUUACACAUUGAUGUCAGUUUUUGAUACACUGCCGCUAUUCACUGCCACUAUUCGACUAUUUGCUUACACAGUUGUUCACGAAGUGGUGAACCUCGCCCCAUCCAUGCUUGUGAGUGACUGAGAAUUUUUGGGGAAGCUGCUUUUAUACCCAAUCAUGGCACCCACCUGUUCCCAAUCAGCCCGCUCACCUGUGGAUGUUCCAGAUAGGUGUUUGAUGAGCAUUCCUCGAAUUUCUCAGUAUUUUUUGCCACCUUUCCCAAAUUCUUUGGCACAUGUUGCAGCCAUGAAAUUCUGUGUUAAUUAGUAAGUUUAUGAGUUUGAGCAUAAAAUGUCUUGUCUUUGUAGUAUAUUCAAUUAAAUAUAGGUUGAAAAGGAUUUGCAAAUCAUUGUUUUCUGUUUUUAUUUACGUUUAUCACAAUUUCCCAACUUCAAUGGAAUUGGGGUUUUGUAUAAUAUUGUUAUAUAAGUACCGUUGUUUUGGUAGAAGAUGAAGUACUCCUUUCCCCUGUAAACAUAUGAAGGUAUCCUCAGUCACCACCUAUGAUUAUGAUUUUAAAGUCACUCUAAGUGUUUUCUGAGGGUGUUAUUCCUGACAACUUCUGUCUCUUUUUAAUCCUUAGAUCCAACCUGAGGUUCACCUGGACAGAACACACCUCCUAAGUCUCUACAAACCCCAGGACCAUGUCUCCAUGCCACGACAGAUCUGAUCACAAGCCAUCUGGACUCAAACCUCUCUGUUUGUGGCUACACAGCUGCUCCACCUACUAUUCUCCACCUCCUCCUCUUCCUCUCCCCACCAGCUGUUCUGCCACCUCCACUAAAUCUGCCUCUCGUCGUCUCCCCCUGCUGGCUCUUCUGCUGGUCUGCACUCUGCUGCUGAUGCUGGCACUGCUGUUGUGGAACUACCAGUGUCUGUUUAUUUCCCACAUCUGUUCCCCACAGGAGAUGGAGGGGGAGGAUAGAAAAGGGGCCUCAUGACUGUUUUGGUUAAAUAUUCUGUUUUUUUCUCUUUAAACUGCAAAUAUUCUAUCAGCCUGAGUGGGGAGGAAUAGAAAGCAAAGUUCACAUUAUUUCUCAGCUCCACUUUAGUAGCUAAUUUAAAGAGAAAAGUCUGUGUACAGCCACAAAAUGUCUCUUUAAGUUUUCUAAAUGCUACCCCAGAAUUUCACUUCCAGCUCAAAGAUCCAGACAGAUUGAAAAUAUAACAGUCAAAAAUUUAGGAGCAGAGCUGCUGACAACUUGAUUUUUGAUCCAAAUUAACUGGAUCCUACAUUUCCCAUGAUGCUGCUGGGCCGUCUUUCAUUACAUCAGUGUAAAUUUCUGUGAUACCUCCAAUUUUUGCCACACAGGUAAAUGUAUAGUAAACAGAUGUAAUUUGAAUACACCACUGGAUGGAUGUUCUUUUAAAACUCAUGGACCUUUCAAAAUAAAAGCUCUCUAACUGCGCCA